AGAGCGGGGACAGGAGCGGGACAGCGGCAACAGGAGAGCGGGGACAGGAGCGGGACAAGGAGCGGGGACAGGAGCGGGGCAAGCGGGGGAAAAUGAGAGCGGGGACAAGAGCGAGGCAAGCGGGGGAGCGGGGCCGGGAGGAUCGGAGCAACAGGAGGAGCGGGCAGACCGUAGUUUUCCCGGAGCUCCACAGUCUCCUCUCUUUGAAGUUGGACAGAUACAGUAAACACAACAAAUAUAUGAUACAACCCAUCACAGCUGGAUUAAAAAAAAAUACACAAAAAAUAUAAUACAUAAAAAAAAAUGGAUUUUUAACAUUGUGGAUUGACGCAGCUCUAAAAAUGGUGAUUGUAACCCUGGUAAGCUUUACAAAGUCUUUAAAAAAAUAAAACAGUACUUCAUGUGAAA
Non-coding RNA from Taeniopygia guttata (zebra finch), 408 nucleotides. The record is from RefSeq and is a predicted model, not a curated record. NCBI's taxonomy places the organism in Eukaryota, Metazoa, Chordata, Aves, Passeriformes, Estrildidae.